This 253-nucleotide ribosomal RNA is filed under the name uncultured bacterium. RNAcentral's name for it is "partial 16S ribosomal RNA". It matches the Rfam family "Bacterial small subunit ribosomal RNA", at positions 524 to 776 of the family's 1533-position model. The record is from RNAcentral.
UACGGAGGGCGCAAGCGUUGUUCGGAAUUACUGGGCGUAAAGCGCGUGUAGGUGGCCUGGCAAGUCGGGUGUGAAAUCCCGGAGCUCAACUCCGGAACUGCAUCCGAUACUGCCAAGCUCGAGUCUCGGAGAGGAUGGCGGAAUUUCCGGUGUAGAGGUGAAAUUCGUAGAUAUCGGAAGGAACACCAGUGGCGAAGGCGGCCGUCUGGACGAUGACGGACACUGAGACGCGAAAGCGUGGGGAGCAAACAGG